UGGGACUGAGACACGGCCCAGACUCCUACGGGAGGCAGCAGUGGGGAAUAUUGCGCAAUGGGCGAAAGCCUGACGCCGCGACGCCGCGUGGGGGAUGAAGGCUUUCGGAGUGUAAACCCCUUUCGGCAGGGACGAAACUGACGGUACCUGCAGAAGAAGCCCCGGCUUACUACGUGCCGGCAGCCGCGGUGAGACGUAGCCGGC
RNAcentral lists this ribosomal RNA (204 nucleotides) under uncultured bacterium. Its description in RNAcentral is "partial 16S ribosomal RNA". It matches the Rfam family "Bacterial small subunit ribosomal RNA", at positions 314 to 535 of the family's 1533-position model. The record is from RNAcentral.